UGAUACAAUUUACAUUAUUAAAUCUAAAAUUUCAUACUUGGUUGAAGAAUAGAGAGAAGAGAUUGGGGAAGAAGGAUUUAUAUGGAUUGAAGAAUGGAGAACUGAGAUUGAAAAUUGGAUAUUUGGGAAGGGUUUAUUUAGGCUGAUUUAUAUGAGAAAAAAAUAUUUUAGUUCAAAAAGUGAGAGAUAACAUAGAGAAAGG
This 202-nucleotide long non-coding RNA is filed under the name Olea europaea (common olive). Its description in RNAcentral is "long non-coding RNA (OEUR_LNC004336)". Lineage: Eukaryota; Viridiplantae; Streptophyta; Magnoliopsida; Lamiales; Oleaceae. The record is from RNAcentral.